ACUCAAAUGAAUAGACGGGGACCCACACAAGCGGUGGAGCAUCUGGUUUAAUUCGAUAGUAAGCGAGGAACCUCACCAAGACUUGACAUCCCGGGAAGUCUGCCGAAAGGUGGAUGUGCCGUAAGGAACCCGGUGACAGGUGCUGCAUGGUUGUCGUCAGCUCGUGCCUUGAGGUGUUCGGUUAAGUCCGUGAACGAGCGCAACCCUUGUCCUAAGUUGUAUUUUUCUUAGGAGACUGCCGGCUCUAAGUCGGAGGAAGGUAAGGAUGACGUCAAAUCAGCAUGGCCCUUAUGUCUUGGGCUACACAGGUGCUACAAUGGUAGGUACAGUGAGACGCAAAGAGGUAACUCUGAGCUAAUCCCCAAAGCCUAUCUCAGUUCGGAUUGAGGGCUGCAACUCGCCCUCAUGAAGUUGGAAUCGCUAGUAACCGCGGAUCAGCAAUGGCGCGGUGAAUAUGUUCCUGGGUCUUGUACACACCGCCCGU
RNAcentral lists this ribosomal RNA (484 nucleotides) under uncultured bacterium. RNAcentral describes it as "partial 16S ribosomal RNA". It matches the Rfam family "Bacterial small subunit ribosomal RNA", at positions 899 to 1397 of the family's 1533-position model. The record is from RNAcentral.